RNAcentral lists this ribosomal RNA (262 nucleotides) under uncultured archaeon. RNAcentral's name for it is "partial 16S ribosomal RNA". It matches the Rfam family "Archaeal small subunit ribosomal RNA", at positions 748 to 1008 of the family's 1478-position model. The record is from RNAcentral.
CAGCUGUAAACGAUGCGCGUUAGGUGUAUCGGUGACCACGAGUCACCGAGGUGCCGAAGAGAAAUCGUGAAACGUGCCGCCUGGGAAGUACGGUCGCAAGGCUGAAACUUAAAGGAAUUGGCGGGGGAGCACCACAACAGGUGGAGCCUGCGGUUUAAUCGGACUCAACGCCGGGAAGCUCACCGGAUAAGACAGCUGAAUGAUAGCCGGGUUGGAAGACUCUGCUUGACUAGCUGAGAGGUGGUGCAUGGCGUGUGACUGU